RNAcentral lists this ribosomal RNA (253 nucleotides) under uncultured bacterium. RNAcentral's name for it is "partial 16S ribosomal RNA". It matches the Rfam family "Bacterial small subunit ribosomal RNA", at positions 524 to 776 of the family's 1533-position model. The record is from RNAcentral.
UACAGAGGGUGCGAGCGUUAAUCGGAAUUACUGGGCGUAAAGCGCACGUAGGCGGCUUGGUAUGUCGGGUGUGAAAUCCCCGGGCUCAACCUGGGAACUGCAUCCGAAACUGCCUUGCUAGAGUAUGGGAGAGGGAAGUGGAAUUUCCGGUGUAGCGGUGAAAUGCGUUGAUAUCUUAAGGAACACCCGUGGCGAAAGCGGCUCACUGGAUCUUUUCUGACGCUGAUGCACGAAAGCUAGGGGAGCAAACGGG